This 832-nucleotide small RNA is filed under the name Histoplasma ohiense. RNAcentral describes it as "hypothetical lncRNA". Lineage: Eukaryota; Fungi; Ascomycota; Eurotiomycetes; Onygenales; Ajellomycetaceae. The record is from RNAcentral.
AUGCCUUCUCCAUACUAUUUCAUUUGGACAAUUGCUCAUAAUAGGCGCUCAAUGCGCUCUGCUAUUAUGGAGAAGCUUCAAUGUGCAGGAAACUAUGCCCAGUCAUCAUUGAAUCAAAAGUGACCGAUGAGUAAACCUCGUUGUCUGGCAUGCACCGCCCCAUCCCGCCAAAUCUGCUUCCCACCCUGUUCAACAACAGCCUUCUUAGGUUGAGGUGAGACCCGCCUGGCCCAUCCCAGCACAAUGGAAAGGCCUGGGCCCAUAUUUCGUUAGCCAUUGCCUGUGCCGCCACCAGCUGGCCUAGCGGCGGUGGGACGGGAUGCGGAAGCACCUAUGCCCUGGAUGAACCAAUGCAAACAAUGACAAGGAAUAACCUGACCGGCCGUGAUGAUGGGGAGAUAGUAACCAUGAUAUCGGGUGACAAAGUUCUAAGUCUGGCAAACAUAUUUGGGGGGUUAUUCCCUUUCAAACUUUCUGUAGCUCUUUAGCAUGGUGGUAUCCAGCAAACCUGCCUUCAUGCAUUGAGGAAAAAGGCGGAGAAACAAGAAGCCAAUGCGAGGUUUUCAACGAGGAUUAUUUCUGUUCACAGCGUUCUUGGAAUAUGUGGCGCAAGUUGAGCUUUGUGGAUGCAGGUCUAGAUGAAGAGGCCUCUGCUAUUAUCUUGGAAUGAGAGAAUAUCUGCUCAAGAGGAACGCAUGGAUGGAGUAAUGGUAAGGGUACUGGAGGCUGAUGCACACCAUCUAUCGUUUGCAGUUGCAGUGUGCCGUUUUCAGGAGCAACGCUCUGGUACCUUAGCUUAAUGGUAGUUUGAGUUUCGUAAGUUCUGUACAAC